This 476-nucleotide ribosomal RNA is filed under the name Praedatophasma maraisi. Its description in RNAcentral is "partial 16S large subunit ribosomal RNA". It matches the Rfam family "Archaeal large subunit ribosomal RNA", at positions 1889 to 2610 of the family's 2987-position model. The record is from RNAcentral. Lineage: Eukaryota; Metazoa; Arthropoda; Insecta; Mantophasmatodea; Mantophasmatidae.
CGCUUGUUUAACAAAAACAUGUCUUUAUUGAAAAUAAUUUAAAGUCUGACCUGCCCAUUGAUUUAAUAAUUUAAAGGCCGCGGUAUUUUGACCGUGCAAAGGUAGCAUAAUCAUUAGUUUUUUAAUUGUGAACUGGUAUGAAUGGUUGGACAAGAUAUUAGCUGUCUCAUAAUAAUAUUUUGAAUUUUACUUUUUAGUGAAAAGGCUUAAAUUUUUUUGUAGGACGAGAAGACCCUAUAGAUUUUUAUAUUUAAUUUUUAUUAUAAAUUUUGGUUAAUAUUAUUUAUAUUUUGAAUUAUUAUUUGAUUGGGGUGAUUAGAAGAUUUAAUUAACUCUUCAUAUUUAUAUACAAUAAUUAUUGAAUUAUUGAUCCAUUUUUAAUGAUUAUAAGAACAAAUUACCUUAGGGAUAACAGCGUUAUCUUUUUUGAGAGUUGAUAUCUACAAAAAGGAUUGCGACCUCGAUGUUGGAUUAAA